Pteropus alecto (black flying fox) is the source of this 119-nucleotide non-coding RNA. The record is from Rfam. Lineage: Eukaryota; Metazoa; Chordata; Mammalia; Chiroptera; Pteropodidae.
GUCUACAGCCAUGCCACCCUGAAUAUGCCCAAUCCUGUCUGAUUUCUGAAGCUAAGCAGGGUCGGGCCUGGUUAGUACUUGGAUAGGAGACCGCCUAGGAAGACCAGGUGCUGUAGGCA